RNAcentral lists this ribosomal RNA (69 nucleotides) under Anaerolinea sp. RNAcentral describes it as "partial 16S ribosomal RNA". It matches the Rfam family "Bacterial small subunit ribosomal RNA", at positions 1 to 71 of the family's 1533-position model. Lineage: Bacteria; Bacillati; Chloroflexota; Anaerolineae; Anaerolineales; Anaerolineaceae. The record is from RNAcentral.
UAUGGAGAGUUUGAUCCUGGCUCAGGAUGAACGCUAGCGGUGUGCCUAAUGCAUGCAAGUCGAACGGGA